This is a non-coding RNA of Oryctolagus cuniculus (rabbit), 1489 nucleotides long. NCBI's taxonomy places the organism in Eukaryota, Metazoa, Chordata, Mammalia, Lagomorpha, Leporidae. The record is from RefSeq and is a predicted model, not a curated record.
ACUCUUGUUUAUGGUGUCAGAAUCACCCUAGGCUCUUGUCAUGAGUUGCCAAGGCUAUGGAAGCCUCUUGUGUUCGCCGACUCCGAUCUUAUUUAGACAAGGUCAUAGUCAAAGUGGAAGUUCUCUCCUCCCUUCAGAGAAAGGUACCUCCUUCUUUGAUGGCCCGUUUCUAAAGUGACUUUCUAAUUGAGCUAAGGUGGAAAGGAAACACAUGAAUUAUAUAAGCGAAGAGGGGUGAGCCGGAUCAGGGAGAGGCGUGUCUUUCCGAUAGAGGCAUGCGUAACAAGGGUCCUGACCGAGGAAGGAGGAGGGCAUUUCUGGGGGCUGAAAGGUGGCCAGUGAUACUGGAAGAGGAAUUGACGGGCAGAGCAAUAUGUGGCCGCAGAAUAAUUGCCAAAUCUGAGAAGCUAAACAUGUCUGGAGUCAUAGGCGGGGAACCUGCAAGCAUUACAGAUUUUCCAUGGCAGGUGGGUAUUCUUAGCCAAGGGUAUUAUCUCUGUGGAGGCACCAUCCUCAGUGAGUGGUGGAUUCUAACUGCAUCUCAUUGCUUCAUCAGAGCAAACAAAUCCAACUUGUCAAUCGUACACGGCACAGAUGACUUCAAUAGCACGAAUUUGAAGAAGGUGCAGGUGGACAAGCUAAUUAUGCAUUCUGGUUUUGACAGCUGGAUCUUGGAUAAUGACAUAGCGUUGCUCUUGCUCAAAUCCCCAUUAAGGUUGGAUGUCAAGAGUACACCCAUCUGCCUUUCAAAGGUCACUAACAUACGGAAGUGGAGUGGCUGCUGGGUGACCGGAUGGGGCGUUACCCGUGCCAAAUCUAUAGGUGCUCCAUCUUCAAAGCUACAGAAAGUUGACCUCAAACUAAUGCACUGGGACACGUGCUUCUCUGUUUUGCCUAUGUUCACCAAGAACAUGCUGUGUGCCAGGAAUUCUCAAGGUGGAAAGGAUUCCUGCCAGGCAAGUGAUUUCCUCCUGUGCCUGGGACUUUUCCAAUUUCUUCAUCUUUAGAAUGAGAAUACUAAGAGUUCCUACCUUUUAGGGCCACUGUGAGAAUGACAAGAAUGAACACACAUGAAGUACUGUAAGUAAGGGUGACAGUGGGGGACCUCUGAUUUGCCACAAAAAGAACAAUAACAGUGUAUGGUACCAGCUGGGCAUUGUCAGCUGGGGAGCGGAAUGCGGCCACAAGGAGAUUCCUGGGGUAUACACGAAGGUGUCAAGCUAUCUGUCCUGGAUUAAAAAGAAGACAGCGCUGGCUGGGAAGCCUUACCUCCGUGAGCCAGACUCCGGGUACAGUUUGCUUCUCUCACCCUGGGCCAUCUUGUUCCAAUAUUUUGUGAUACUUCUGUUAUCCUGGUGAUUAAACACUGUGUUGUCUCAAAAACCAAGUGUCUGUCUCAGUUUGUGAAAUCAGGUACAAGUUGCAAGGAGUGAUUCCAGAUGAUCAGUGGUGGCUGAACUAAUCACAUGCCCACAGGAACUUAAACUAC